GAUGAACGCUGGCGGCGUGCUUAACACAUGCAAGUCGAACGGUGAAGGCGGAGCUUGCUCUGCUGGAUCAGUGGCGAACGGGUGAGUAACACGUGAGCAAUCUGCCCCUGACUCUGGGAUAAGCGCUGGAAACGGCGUCUAAUACUGGAUACGAGCUGCGAAGGCAUCUUCAGCAGCUGGAAAGAAUUUCGGUCAGGGAUGAGCUCGCGGCCUAUCAGCUUGUUGGUGAGGUAAUGGCUCACCAAGGCGUCGACGGGUAGCCGGCCUGAGAGGGUGACCGGCCACACUGGGACUGAGACACGGCCCAGACUCCUACGGGAGGCAGCAGUGGGGAAUAUUGCACAAUGGGCGAAAGCCUGAUGCAGCAACGCCGCGUGAGGGACGACGGCCUUCGGGUGGUAAACCUCUUUUAGCAGGGAAGAAGCGAAAGUGACGGUACCUGCAGAAAAAGCGCCGGCUAACUACGG
Molecule: ribosomal RNA, 467 nt
Filed under: uncultured bacterium
Lineage: Bacteria
Description: partial 16S ribosomal RNA
Rfam family: Bacterial small subunit ribosomal RNA
Source: RNAcentral